This 49-nucleotide transfer RNA is filed under the name Acinetobacter baumannii 58452. RNAcentral's name for it is "partial tRNA-Phe". It matches the Rfam family "tRNA", at positions 1 to 48 of the family's 71-position model. Rfam says of the family: Transfer RNA (tRNA) molecules are approximately 80 nucleotides in length. Their secondary structure includes four short double-helical elements and three loops (D, anti-codon, and T loops). Lineage: Bacteria; Pseudomonadati; Pseudomonadota; Gammaproteobacteria; Moraxellales; Moraxellaceae. The record is from RNAcentral.
GGCGUGAUAGCUCAGUUGGUAGAGCAACGGAUUGAAAAUCCGUGUGUCC